RNAcentral lists this unclassified non-coding RNA (345 nucleotides) under soil metagenome. Its description in RNAcentral is "partial contains 5.8S ribosomal RNA, internal transcribed spacer 2, and large subunit ribosomal RNA". The stretch from base 1 to 119 matches the Rfam family "5.8S ribosomal RNA", at positions 35 to 154 of the family's 154-position model. The record is from RNAcentral.
GAUGAAGAACGUAGCGAAAUGCGAUACGUAAUGUGAAUUGCAUAUUCAGUGAAUCAUCGAGUCUUUGAACGCACAUUGCGCCCCCUGGUAUUCCGGGGGGCAUGCCUGUCCGAGCGUCAUUGCUGCCCUCAAGCACGGCUUGUGUGUUGGGCCCCGUCCUCCGAUCCCGGGGGACGGGCCCGAAAGGCAGCGGCGGCACCGCGUCCGGUCCUCGAGCGUAUGGGGCUUUGUCACCCGCUCUGUAGGCCCGGCCGGCGCUUGCCGAUCAACCCAAAUUUUUAUCCAGGUUGACCUCGGAUCAGGUAGGGAUACCCGCUGAACUUAAGCAUAUCAAUAAGCGGAGGA